AUCCUUUGACCACUCUAGAGAUAGAGCUUUCCCUUCGGGGACAAAGUGACAGGUGGUGCAUGGUUGUCGUCAGCUCGUGUCGUGAGAUGUUGGGUUAAGUCCCGCAACGAGCGCAACCCUUAUUGUUAGUUGCCAUCAUUUAGUUGGGCACUCUAGCGAGACUGCCGGUGACAAACCGGAGGAAGGUGGGGAUGACGUCAAAUCAUCAUGCCCCUUAUGACCUGGGCUACACACGUGCUACAAUGGGAAAUACAACGAGUUGCGAAGUCGCGAGGCUAAGCUAAUCUCUUAAAGUUUCUCUCAGUUCGGAUUGUAGGCUGCAACUCGCCUACAUGAAGCCGGAAUCGCUAGUAAUCGCGGAUCAGC
This 366-nucleotide ribosomal RNA is filed under the name Enterococcus sulfureus. Its description in RNAcentral is "bacterial SSU rRNA". It matches the Rfam family "Bacterial small subunit ribosomal RNA", at positions 986 to 1353 of the family's 1533-position model. Lineage: Bacteria; Bacillati; Bacillota; Bacilli; Lactobacillales; Enterococcaceae. The record is from RNAcentral.